AAAUAUGACCCGAGUAUUUUUUUUUAUUUUUUAUUUUUUUCAGAUUACUAGCAGUUCAGCGGGGAUAUUAUAAUUUCCUUCUAUACAUAACGGUGGAAAGAGAUCCUGUGUGAUUUCCACAAGCAGGAAGAGGCACUGCCUUCUCUUUUUCCCUCCUUCCUAGAACCUGUUUUUGCUGCUCUGUAUCCCAGGCAGUCAAGACGUAUUUUUUAGCAAAGUAACCCCGUUUUUGUCAUAAAACUUCACUGUAUACAGCAGGAACUCUUGUUUUAAAACACCUGAAAUGAAGACCCUGGAGAGGAUGGAAUGACUAAAUGACACAAAAAAUUUGCACUUUACUCAAGACAGUGGGAAAAGUGUGAGCUCUCUGUCUGUUACAAGGGACCGUGGGAGAGGACUGAGUGCAGAGGAGCUUUGCGAUGUCAAGUCUCCAGAUGGUUUCUGUCAAAGAGCUGGUAAUGCCUGUUCCUGAAGGGUUGUGGUUCGGCUUGGGGCAUUGAACAGCAUCUCGAGAGGACAAAUUAAGGAAGAGGCUGCUCUGAGGUUGUACCAGACCUGGAAAGUAAUUAUGCACCAGCUUCUUGGAAAGGAGAUGUAAUACCAGGUGGGAAGUAAGGUUAAAACUUAAUGUUAAAAUUAACAAACAGUUACUAUGUUAAAGUAUUUUUAAGAAAAUGUUUAGGGAGAA
Molecule: long non-coding RNA, 688 nt
Filed under: Coturnix japonica (Japanese quail)
Lineage: Eukaryota; Metazoa; Chordata; Aves; Galliformes; Phasianidae
Description: lncRNA (ENSCJPG00005008609.1)
Source: RNAcentral